Molecule: ribosomal RNA, 162 nt
Filed under: uncultured bacterium
Lineage: Bacteria
Description: partial 16S ribosomal RNA
Rfam family: Bacterial small subunit ribosomal RNA
Source: RNAcentral
UGGGGAAUAUUGGGCAAUGGGCGGAAGCCUGAUCCAGCCAUGCCGCGUGUGUGAAGAAGGCGUUUUGGUUGUAAAGCACUUUAAGCGAGGAGGAGGAUACGGAGACUAAUACUCUUGGACAGUGGAGGUUCCUCGCAGAAUAAGCACCGCCUAAUUCCUGCG